UUAGAGGAGCCACUGCCUGUGUCAGAAGGCAAAUGGGACCAAUCAACUUGUGAGCUGUCGAAUGACACAGUGAGUCCCUGCCUCUGAAACUUUUGUUAUUUCUUCCCCUCAACUUACUUCAAUCGUUUCCACAACUUAGUUACAGACUAGGACAAGUUGCCAGAGAUCUACAGGCACGUCCCACAGCCCGGAGCAAGCUCCUCUGUGCUUCACUAACAGUAAGACCAGAGGUGGGUGACAGCGCCAUGAAGGAUUAACGAGCAAGCUUCACAAAGGCUGU
This is a long non-coding RNA of Empidonax traillii (willow flycatcher), 280 nucleotides long. RefSeq lists it as uncharacterized. Lineage: Eukaryota; Metazoa; Chordata; Aves; Passeriformes; Tyrannidae. The record is from RefSeq and is a predicted model, not a curated record. The transcript has 3 exons.